Molecule: ribosomal RNA, 495 nt
Filed under: uncultured bacterium
Lineage: Bacteria
Description: partial 16S ribosomal RNA
Rfam family: Bacterial small subunit ribosomal RNA
Source: RNAcentral
GACGAACGCUGGCGGCGUGCCUAAUACAUGCAAGUAGAACGCUGAAGGAGGAGCUUGCUCUUCUGGAUGAGUUGCGAACGGGUGAGUAACGCGUAGGUAACCUGCCUGGUAGCGGGGGAUAACUAUUGGAAACGAUAGCUAAUACCGCAUAACAGUAGAUGUUGCAUGACAUUUGCUUAAAAGGUGCAAUUGCACCACUACCAGAUGGACCUGCGUUGUAUUAGCUAGUUGGUGGGGUAACGGCUCACCAAGGCGACGAUACAUAGCCGACCUGAGAGGGUGAUAGGCCACACUGGGACGGAGACACGGCCCAGACUCCUACGGGAGGCAGCAGUAGGGGAUCUUCGGCAAUGGACGGAAGUCUGACCGAGCAACGCCGCGUGAGUGAAGAAGGUUUUCGGAUCGUAAAGCUCUGUUGUAAGAGAAGAACGAGGGUGAGAGUGGAAAGUUCACACUGUGACGGUAUCUUACCAGAAAGGGACGGCUAACUACGUG